This is an RNA transcript of Nicotiana attenuata, 2492 nucleotides long. It is a transcript of the gene named RNA-binding protein 38-like, with no coding region annotated. The transcript is spliced from 8 exons. The record is from RefSeq and is a predicted model, not a curated record. Lineage: Eukaryota; Viridiplantae; Streptophyta; Magnoliopsida; Solanales; Solanaceae.
UUGCUCUCAGCAUCUUCUCUCUUUCUCUCUCUAAAAGUCUUUGAUUGAAUUAGCUGGCUGUCUUUACAAAAACGCGUAGACUUUUGGACCCACACGUAUUCAUUCCUCUCUCUCUUUCUCUUUCUAUUCUCUCCUCCUUUGCACUAAAUUUGCGCAGGGUUUUUUUAGUUUUUACCCAGGGGUUUUCUCCUCUCUCUCUCUCUCUCCUCCCCACACUGCCACCUCACUCCUCUCUCUUUUCUUACAAUUCAAGUUUCUUUCUUGAUCACUCCCUUGUUUCCUAUAAAAAGAAAAAGAUUUAAUCUUUUUUACUAUCAAUUUUGAUACUUUUUGUUUAGGAGCUUUGUAUUCAUGGCUUAUCAGAUGAGUCCAGGUGGUAGUAGUGGUGGUGGUUCGGGUAAUUCGCCGUUUGUGGGUCGGGGCCCAUAUGGGGUUGGAGGAGAUACAACUUAUACAAAAGUUUUUGUUGGUGGGUUGGCUUGGGAAACUAAGAGUGAAUCACUGCGCCGUUAUUUUGAGCAGUUUGGUGAUAUUAUUGAAGCUGUUGUCAUCACUGAUAAACAUACUGCCCGCUCCAAAGGCUAUGGCUUUGUGACAUUCCAUGAUCCUGAAGCAGCUUGGAGGGCUUGUGCCAAUCCUAAUCCGAUUAUUGAUGGCAGAAGAGCAAAUUGUAAUUUGGCUUCACUUGGACGACCUCAAGGAGUUUUACCUUAUGGACGUUUGAGAUCAUCAAUGCCCUAUCUGGGAAAUCCACAGGCCAUGAGGGGUAUGUAUAUGGGCAACCCCAUUUACCAGCUACCAGUUCCUUACAGCUAUCAGCCUGGAUUCUCAUAUCCUCAAUAUAGGUUUCCUGCAUAUGGGCCAGACUACAUCUAUCCACAAAUGUAUGGGAUACCAAGUACUGUUGGCACGAACUCAUUGCAAUUUGGCCAACUUGGUAUGCAGCCUGGCAGUCCUGCAUACGCAUUUCGUGGUCAUAUGAUGCCAGGUCCUCAGAUGGUGCAAUAUCAGAGACCUAAUACUAACGGAGCUACAACAGACAAUGUUCCUGUCAUGCAACUACCAUAUCAUUCAGUGAAGCUGCUUGAUUACCCCGUUUCUUCAGGCAUCACCAUGUCGUCCCCUCGUCAGUCACAGAUUGCAGCUCGCCCACCACAAUUCACGCAGAGCAGUGGGUCUGACCAAAUGGCAGGUUGAAUUGUUGAAGGAACUGGUGUAUCACGGAUGAAUUCAAGGAUUUGGCUCGCUCUAACUUGUGUGGUAGACUUGGAAUAUGACCUUGAACGUCAGCGGGGAGGCAACAAAGAGGUCUUUCAAAGUCAUGGCCACCAAAUAUUCGAGGGAAUCACUUGUAAGAUAUCAAGCAGUCCAGAUAACCAUAUCAGAAAUGAUGAGGAAGUGCUUGGACUGCUCUUUUCGCAGUCUCUGUAUGGAGACGGAUUAUAUAAUUGAAUUGACUGUGGGAAGAUGGUUUCCACAAUCAUGUUUAGCAGAAUCAACAUAUGAUUCUUUAUAUAUACCUGGGUUAUCCAGGACCGUAGUAGGUCGACUCUUUUAUUUGAUGUCCAUUUGAAUAGUGUGUCUUUUAUUUUGUUUUUUGGUGUUCCGAUCUCCGUAGGGCUAGGGGAUCGUUAUCCAGGACUGUAGUUCGACUUCGUUCUGCGGUUCCACUGUGUUUGUGGUUCCUUCAGAACGAAGUCUCUCACUCAUGACCUCCUCUCCUAGCAAAGGAGAAUAAAGGUCCAAAGGAAGGAAAGUCGGGCUCACUUUGAGGGUUGGAGAAGGUCUCUGGUGCGAGAUUGUGCACUCGAAAUGAUGGUAUAGAAUCCAUUUGUAUGCAAAUCCGCAGCCAAGAUGUACCCGGGGCAUGUUACUGCCAAGGUGUCCAUUUUGUUUCCUAGUCGGGUUUCUGUUCGAAACAUGCAGUAGAUGCGUAUUGAUCACUCAAUUUUCAUUUUUCUGGACUUGCUUUUGUAGUGAAGAGUAAUGCCAGACCAGUAUGUGUUUUUUCUUGUGCACCAGAAACUCUCUAGGAGCGUCAAACCUCCAGUUGCCCCAUGAUCAGUGGUAGUUUCAGAUUAGUGUAGGUUAAAACAUAGUUAUAUGACAACCUUUGACAAGGAUUUCCUUCUCGGGACACCAGGAUCUGUUGGAAGAAACAUAAAAGGAUUUUCUAUCAAAUUGGACGAACAGGAGAUGUUCUUGGAGAACAUGUUGCCUAGCUUAAAAUGUCUCAUCAAAUGACAUGACCGUUGUCCGUGCUGAUUGCUGUAUCUUCUCUCAGUACUGCUCUAGUAGUUGUUUGUCUCUUCUUUUUCCAUUUUUCCUCCCCCCACACCCAGUGGCGAAGCCACCUUAUAGGAAGGGGUGUCAAAUGACUUCUCUUCGCGGGGAAAAUACAUUGUGUAGGUAGGUAAAAAAAAAAUUAUAUGUAUAUGUACUAUGUAUUGACUCCUCUUAAUUUCCUGGUACGUUUAUUUUUAUAUUUUAUA